CCUACGGGUGGCAGCAGUCGAGAAUCAUUCACAAUGGGGGAAACCCUGAUGGUGCGACGCCGCGUGGGGGAAUGAAGGUCUUCGGAUUGUAAACCCCUGUCAUGUGGGAGCAAAUUAAAAAGAUAGUACCACAAGAGGAAGAGACGGCUAACUCUGUGACAGCAGCCGCGGUAAUACAGAGGUCUCAAGCGUUGUUCGGAAUCACUGGGCGUAAAGCGUGCGUAGGCUGUUUCUUAAGUCGUGUGUGAAAGGCGCGGGCUCAACCAGCGGACGGCACAAGAUAUUGCGAGACUAGAGUAAGGUAGGGGGAACCGGAAUUCUCGGUGUAGGAGUGAAAUGCGUAGAUAUCGGGAGGAACACUCGUGGCGAAGGCGGGUUCCUGGACAUUAACUGACGCUGAGGCACGAAGGCCAGGGGAGCGAAAGGGAUUAGAUACCCUUGUAGUC
RNAcentral lists this ribosomal RNA (446 nucleotides) under uncultured bacterium. RNAcentral describes it as "partial 16S ribosomal RNA". It matches the Rfam family "Bacterial small subunit ribosomal RNA", at positions 338 to 795 of the family's 1533-position model. The record is from RNAcentral.